RNAcentral lists this long non-coding RNA (334 nucleotides) under Vigna radiata. Its description in RNAcentral is "long non-coding RNA (VRAD_LNC005717)". Lineage: Eukaryota; Viridiplantae; Streptophyta; Magnoliopsida; Fabales; Fabaceae. The record is from RNAcentral.
GUGUGUAUGAUUUAUAUGACUUGGAAAAUUAUCAAGUAAUUGGAUUGGUUGGAUUCGGUUGUGAAAUUAUGAUCUCUCGGUGAGAUCUAUUAGUGUAUUGACUAAAUGGUGAGAGGCUUCCAUAUAGGGGGUUAUCCCUAACGCUCCAACUGUCUUUCAUUCUCACUUAGAGAAGAUCGACGCGUGUGGUGGGAGUAGUGGGAGGUCCUAGGGUAGGCGCUUUCACUGUAGGCCUAUACUGCGGUAACGAACUAGCCUUGUGUAUGGUCGGAUGGAACCCCUCGGCAAUGGCUUUGCAAAGCAGUAGGGCCAUCANAAGAGCACAACCCGCCCC